RNAcentral lists this ribosomal RNA (541 nucleotides) under uncultured bacterium. Its description in RNAcentral is "bacterial SSU rRNA". It matches the Rfam family "Bacterial small subunit ribosomal RNA", at positions 777 to 1319 of the family's 1533-position model. The record is from RNAcentral.
AAUAGAUACCCGGGUAGUCCUGGCCGUAAACGAUGUCCACUAGGUCCUGGCCCCUUUGACGGGGUCGGGGCCGAAGUAAAAUGGUAAGUGGACCGCCUGGGAAGUACGGUCGCAAGGCUAAAACUCAAAGAAAUUGACGGGGGCUCACACAAGCGGUGGAGCAUGUGGUUCAAUUCGACGCAACGCGCAGAACCUUACCUGGUCUUGACAUCCUUGGAAUCCUUCAGAGAUGAGGGAGUGCCCGCAAGGGAACCAAGAGACAGGUGCUGCAUGGCUGUCGUCAGCUCGUGUCGUGAGAUGUUGGGUUAAGUCCCGCAACGAGCGCAACCCUCGCCUUUAGUUGCCACGCAAGUGGAUCUCUAGAGGGACUGCCGGUGUUAAACCGGAGGAAGGUGGGGAUGACGUCAAGUCCUCAUGGCCUUUAUGACCAGGGCUACACACGUGCUACAAUGGCCGGUACAAAGCGUUGCCAACUCGCGAGAGGGAGCUAAUCGGCAUAAAAACCGGUCUCAGUUCAGAUUGGAGUCUGCAACUCGACUCC